Molecule: ribosomal RNA, 484 nt
Filed under: uncultured bacterium
Lineage: Bacteria
Description: partial 16S ribosomal RNA
Rfam family: Bacterial small subunit ribosomal RNA
Source: RNAcentral
AUUGAACGCUGGCGGCAGGCCUAACACAUGCAAGUCGAGCGGAUGAAGGGAGCUUGCUCCUGGAUUCAGCGGCGGACGGGUGAGUAAUGCCUAGGAAUCUGCCUGGUAGUGGGGGAUAACGUCCGGAAACGGGCGCUAAUACCGCAUACGUCCUGAGGGAGAAAGUGGGGGAUCUUCGGACCUCACGCUAUCAGAUGAGCCUAGGUCGGAUUAGCUAGUUGGUGGGGUAAAGGCCUACCAAGGCGACGAUCCGUAACUGGUCUGAGAGGAUGAUCAGUCGCACUGGAACUGAGACACGGUCCAGACUCCUACGGGAGGCAGCAGUGGGGAAUAUUGGACAAUGGGCGAAAGCCUGAUCCAGCCAUGCCGCGUGUGUGAAGAAGGUCUUCGGAUUGUAAAGCACUUUAAGUUGGGAGGAAGGGCAGUAAGUUAAUACCUUGCUGUUUUGACGGUACCAACAGAAUAAGCACCGGCUAACUUCGUG